RNAcentral lists this ribosomal RNA (482 nucleotides) under uncultured bacterium. Its description in RNAcentral is "partial 16S ribosomal RNA". It matches the Rfam family "Bacterial small subunit ribosomal RNA", at positions 30 to 507 of the family's 1533-position model. The record is from RNAcentral.
AUUGAACGCUGGCGGCAUGCCUUACACAUGCAAGUCGAACGGUAACGGGCCUUCGGGUGCCGACGAGUGGCGCACGGGUGUGUAAUACAUCGGAACGUGCCCGAUCGUGGGGGAUAACGAGGCGAAAGCUUUGCUAAUACCGCAUACGAUCUACGGAUGAAAGCAGGGGACCGCAAGGCCUUGCGCGGACGGAGCGGCCGAUGGCCGAUUAGGUAGUUGGUGGGAUAAAAGCUUACCAAGCCGACGAUCUGUAGCUGGUCUGAGAGGAUGAUCAGCCACACUGGGACUGAGACACGGCCCAGACUCCUACGAGAGGCAGCAGUGGGGAAUUUUGGACAAUGGGCGCAAGCCUGAUCCAGCCAUGCCGCGUGCAGGAUGAAGGCCUUCGGGUUGUAAACUGCUUUUGUACGGAACGAAAAGCCUUCUUUUAAUACAGGAGGGUCAUGACGGUACCGUAAGAAUAAGCACCGGCUAACUACGUG